AUUGAACGCUGGCGGAAUGCUUUACACAUGCAAGUCGAACGGCAGCACGGGUGCUUGCACCUGGUGGCGAGUGGCGAACGGGUGAGUAAUACAUCGGAACGUACCCAGUCGUGGGGGAUAACUAACCGAAAGGUUGGCUAAUACCGCAUACGUCCUGAGGGAGAAAGCGGGGGACCGUAAGGCCUCGCGCGAUUGGAGCGGCCGAUGUCUGAUUAGCUAGUUGGUGAGGUAAAGGCUCACCAAGGCGACGAUCAGUAGCUGGUCUGAGAGGAUGAUAAGCCACACUGGAACUGAGACACGGUCCAGACUCCUACGGGAGGCAGCAGUGGGGAAUUUUGGACAAUGGGGGAAACCCUGAUCCAGCCAUUCCGCGUGAGUGAAAAAGGCCUUCGGGUUGUAAAGCUCUUUCGGCAGGGAAGAAACGCUCUGGAUUAAUACUCCGGGGUAAUGACGGUACCUGAAGAAGAAGCACCGGCUAACUACGUGCCAGCCGCCGCCGUAA
This 502-nucleotide ribosomal RNA is filed under the name uncultured bacterium. RNAcentral describes it as "partial 16S ribosomal RNA". It matches the Rfam family "Bacterial small subunit ribosomal RNA", at positions 30 to 523 of the family's 1533-position model. The record is from RNAcentral.